CUUUUCUUUCCAGUUUUACUCCGUCUUCUUCUUCAACUCCUUGUUUGCACACACACACACCCAGAAAUCCUUUCCUUUUCAGACAAGCGCACGCCCGCCCCUUCCGACACUUCCGAUGAUAUAGCUGUCUCUUUCCAUUUUCCAUUUCUCUUUUAUAUCAACGUCCCUCAUUUCUCCACGUGUCUCCGGAUCUCAACCCACUAUUUAAAUAUACUUUUUCUUUUCCUCUUCCUCGGCCAUUUCAUCUCCUUUCCUACAGAGAAUCUAGAGCGGGAACAAAACGACUCGCCGUUUUCUUCCGUCUAUCUGGCUUCUCCGUUCUUAGUAGAUCCGACGUUCACCAGCCGGAAAACUCCUCGUACGGGAUCCAUACAAGUUAACAACCUUAAAACCGACAGCG
RNAcentral lists this unclassified non-coding RNA (400 nucleotides) under Hevea brasiliensis (rubber tree). The record is from RNAcentral. Lineage: Eukaryota; Viridiplantae; Streptophyta; Magnoliopsida; Malpighiales; Euphorbiaceae.